CAUGGAGUAGUUGGGCUUCGUUAAAAAAAUAUAUAUAGAGUGAUUUAACAUCAAUGAUGUACCAUGGAGUAACAAUUCCCGAAGUUGAUAACUCCUACAGCAAACUCAAAAACGUCAUGUUUACAAAGAGAAACCAAUAUUUUUACCAAAUUUUCAAAAUCACCAAAUUAUCUUCUUGUCACUCCAUUAUACUUCCUCCCUUGACGCUAUGACUCGAGAUGCAACUCAAGAAGUGGUGACCUAUCUGAUAACCAAUAAAUGGGUAGCCUUACUGGUAGG
Molecule: long non-coding RNA, 279 nt
Filed under: Elaeis guineensis (African oil palm)
Lineage: Eukaryota; Viridiplantae; Streptophyta; Magnoliopsida; Arecales; Arecaceae
Description: long non-coding RNA (EGUI_LNC016292)
Source: RNAcentral